CAGCACCUCAAGUGGUCAGGAUGAUUAUUGGGCCUAAAGCAUCCGUAGCCGGCUCUGUAAGUUUUCGGUUAAAUCUGUACGCUCAACGUACAGGCUGCCGGGAAUACUGCAGCGCUAGGGAGUGGGAGAGGUAGACGGUACUCGGUAGGAAGGGGUAAAAUCCUUUGAGCUAUUGAUGACCACCUGUGGCGAAGGCGGUCUACCAGAACACGUCCGACGGUGAGGGAUGAAAGCUGGGGGAGCAAACCGGAUUAGAGACCCGAGUAGUCC
Molecule: ribosomal RNA, 270 nt
Filed under: uncultured archaeon
Lineage: Archaea
Description: partial 16S ribosomal RNA
Rfam family: Archaeal small subunit ribosomal RNA
Source: RNAcentral